GGAAAGAUGAAAAGAACUUUGAAAAGAGAGUUAAACAGUACGUGAAAUUGUUGAAAGGGAAACGAUUGAAGUCAGUCAUACCAACGGGAAAUCAACCUUUUGAGUUCGUUCUUGUGGGUUUCGAGGAGUUUAAAAGCCUUCUGAUUUGUGAGGAUUGGGCUCUUUUGGUGUACUUUCUCGUACGGUUAGUCAACAUCGGUUUUGAAUGUCAUAAAAUGAUUGGAGGAAUGUGGCUUCGAUCUCGUAUCGAAGUGUUAUAACCUUUGGUAGAUGUGAUGUUCGAGACCGAGGAUUGCAACGGAUACCUUUCAGGCUAUUCGUCUGAUCUCUGAUACGUUGCCUUGAUGUCGAAAGCGUGCUUAUGAUGUUAGGGUAUUACGGUCAAAAGGUUAGAACGGAUUAAAUUCGUUAAGGAUGUUGACGUAAUGACUUUAAACGACCCGUCUUGAAACACGGACCA
This 460-nucleotide ribosomal RNA is filed under the name Funneliformis geosporum. RNAcentral describes it as "LSU rRNA". It matches the Rfam family "Eukaryotic large subunit ribosomal RNA", at positions 358 to 668 of the family's 3401-position model. Lineage: Eukaryota; Fungi; Glomeromycota; Glomeromycetes; Glomerales; Glomeraceae. The record is from RNAcentral.